Molecule: long non-coding RNA, 985 nt
Filed under: Cyanistes caeruleus (blue tit)
Lineage: Eukaryota; Metazoa; Chordata; Aves; Passeriformes; Paridae
Description: lncRNA (ENSCCEG00000009699.1)
Source: RNAcentral
UAAUGCACUAGAUUUUAAAAUGCUAUAUUAAAUCUGAGGAAAUGGAUUAAAUUGCAUUUUGAAAGUUGCACUGCCAAACCUGUAUAUGUUGCACUGCCAAACCCUCAGAUAUGCUGAGUAUAUAAUUAUUAUGAACUUUAGACUUUGUCUUAUUCCAGAUGAAAAUAUUCCUUAACGUAGAGCAUCAGAAAAGAAGAAAAAAAAAAGUUAGAAGCAAGAGAAUUCUAAUUUCCAGUUGUUCAGAGCACUUUUUUAUAGUAGUUGAUAAUAUUUCAUAUUUCAUCAUUACAAUAAUUUAGUUGCAUAUUCUAUGUUUCAAUUUAUUUAACUAUGAAUAGUUGCUUAUAAAGUUUCCUACCUAUACGAAUGAAGCUCCUUUUUAAAAAAGGGUUGGUUUUUUUUCACAUCUAAGAUAAUUUGAAAGUUCAAAAUGCACAUUUUUCAGCUUGCUGGUCUGCUUUUUAACAGUUUGUGACUUUAUUUAUUUAUUUAUUAAAUUUUUACCAGCCCCCAGGUGAUAGUGAGGUCAGUUUUUAUAAUGGCACUGUCGGUCGAACAGGAGUCCUCUUCCAUGCCCUUUGAAGAGAACAGAUUCUAUUUUGUCACCUUGAGCAGGUAUAGGAACAAGGCGCGAAGCUGAAUUUCUUCGGUCGUUUGGACAUUCCAAGAAAGCCAGUGGGAUUUUUUUGGCUGCUGAGGAAUGUGGGCUCAUUGCCUUCAUGUCUCAAGGUUCCAUCCGCCCGCAAAAUCAUCAGGAAUGACUCAGUUCUUCCCUGUGUGCUCCGUCCGUGGCAAUCCGGCUUGGAGAAACGCGAGCAGCCGAAGCAAAGCCGCUCUAAGCAGAAACGACUGUGACUCACAUCGCAGGCGAGAUGAGCCACCCUGUGGCAAUAUCCUGCAAUUUGCCUUUAUUGAGGGCGGAAGGACGACAAAACUAGUUGCUGAAUGUGUAAAGCAGUGGAAAGUAUUUGCUGGCUUUUUUUAA